GAUGAACGCUGGCGGCGUGCUUAACACAUGCAAGUCGAACGAAGCACCUUAUUCUGAUUUCUUCGGAAUGAAAAAUUUGGUGACUGAGUGGCGGACGGGUGAGUAACGCGUGGGUAACCUGCCUCAUACAGGGGGAUAACAGUUAGAAAUGACUGCUAAUACCGCAUAAGACCACAGCACCGCAUGGUGCAGGGGUAAAAACUCCGGUGGUAUGAGAUGGACCCGCGUCUGAUUAGGUAGUUGGUGGGGUAACGGCCUACCAAGCCGACGAUCAGUAGCCGACCUGAGAGGGUGACCGGCCACAUUGGGACUGAGACACGGCCCAAACUCCUACGGGAGGCAGCAGUGGGGAAUAUUGCACAAUGGGGGAAACCCUGAUGCAGCGACGCCGCGUGAGCGAUGAAGUAUUUCGGUAUGUAAAGCUCUAUCAGCAGGGAAGAAAAUGACGG
RNAcentral lists this ribosomal RNA (449 nucleotides) under uncultured bacterium. RNAcentral's name for it is "bacterial SSU rRNA". It matches the Rfam family "Bacterial small subunit ribosomal RNA", at positions 28 to 457 of the family's 1533-position model. The record is from RNAcentral.